The sequence is a Y RNA, 115 nucleotides long. It matches the Rfam family "Y RNA". From Rfam's summary of the family: Y RNAs are components of the Ro ribonucleoprotein particle (Ro RNP), in association with Ro60 and La proteins. The Y RNAs and Ro60 and La proteins are well conserved, but the function of the Ro RNP is not known. The record is from Ensembl.
GGCUGGUCUAAAGGUAAUGAGUUAUCUUGAUUGAUUGUUCACAGGCAGUCACAGAUCUAAUUCCUUGUUCUACUCUUUCCCUUACCUUCUCACCACUGCACUUGAAUACUUUAAA